This 213-nucleotide ribosomal RNA is filed under the name uncultured Allobrachymonas sp. Its description in RNAcentral is "uncultured Brachymonas sp. partial 16S ribosomal RNA". It matches the Rfam family "Bacterial small subunit ribosomal RNA", at positions 1170 to 1382 of the family's 1533-position model. The record is from RNAcentral. Lineage: Bacteria; Pseudomonadati; Pseudomonadota; Betaproteobacteria; Burkholderiales; Comamonadaceae.
AAGGUGGGGAUGACGUCAAGUCCUCAUGGCCCUUAUAGGUGGGGCUACACACGUCAUACAAUGGCCGGUACAGAGGGUAGCCAACCCGCGAGGGGGAGCCAAUCCCACAAAGCCGGUCGUAGUCCGGAUCGCAGUCUGCAACUCGACUGCGUGAAGUCGGAAUCGCUAGUAAUCGCGGAUCAGCAUGUCGCGGUGAAUACGUUCCCGGGUCUU